Molecule: ribosomal RNA, 371 nt
Filed under: uncultured organism
Description: partial 16S ribosomal RNA
Rfam family: Bacterial small subunit ribosomal RNA
Source: RNAcentral
GUAGGUGGCAAGCGUUGUCCGGAAUUAUUGGGCGUAAAGCGCGCGCAGGCGGUUCUUUAAGUCUGAUGUGAAAGCCCACGGCUCAACCGUGGAGGGUCAUUGGAAACUGGAGAACUUGAGUACAGAAGAGGAAAGCGGAAUUCCACGUGUAGCGGUGAAAUGCGUAGAGAUGUGGAGGAACACCAGUGGCGAAGGCGGCUUUCUGGUCUGUAACUGACGCUGAGGCGCGAAAGCGUGGGGAGCAAACAGGAUUAGAUACCCUGGUAGUCCACGCCGUAAACGAUGAGUGCUAAGUGUUAGGGGGUUUCCGUUCCUUAGUGCUGUAGUUAAUGCAUUAAGCACUCCGCCUGGGGAGUACGGCCGCAAGGCUG